Small nuclear RNA from Alexandromys fortis (reed vole), 104 nucleotides. Lineage: Eukaryota; Metazoa; Chordata; Mammalia; Rodentia; Cricetidae. The record is from RefSeq and is a predicted model, not a curated record.
GUGCUCACUGCGGCAGCUCAGCUACUAAAACUGGGAUGAUACAGAGAUUAGCAUAGCUCCUGUACAAGGAUGACACGCAAAUUCGUGAAGUGUUUCAUUAAGAC